Molecule: microRNA precursor, 87 nt
Filed under: Lottia gigantea (owl limpet)
Lineage: Eukaryota; Metazoa; Mollusca; Gastropoda; Lottiidae
Description: microRNA lgi-mir-1988 precursor
Source: miRBase by way of RNAcentral
CCAAGCUGUCUUGUUCAGUGGUUUUCCGUUGCACAUGCGUACAUAGCAUGCAUGCGCAACGGGAGAUCAACGGAUAAGAUAGUUAUU